UUGUGCGAAGGUAGCAUAAUCAUUAGUCUUUUAAUUGAAGGCUUGUAUGAAUGGUUGGACAAAAAGUAAGCUGUCUCAAUUAUAAUAAUUGAACUUAACUUUUAAGUGAAAAGGCUUAAAUAAAUUAAGGGGACGAUAAGACCCUAUAAAGCUUGACAAUAAUUUAAUUAUACUAUCAAUUGUUAGUGUAACUUGGUUUUAGUUAAAAUUUGUUGCGUUGGGGCGACGAGAAUAUAAUAGGUAACUGUUCUUAAAUAUUUAAUAACAAAUAUAAUUGAAAAUUAGUGUGAUCCUCUAUUAGCGAUUAAAAGAUUAAGUUACUUUAGGGAUAACAGCGU
Molecule: ribosomal RNA, 338 nt
Filed under: Penaeus merguiensis
Lineage: Eukaryota; Metazoa; Arthropoda; Malacostraca; Decapoda; Penaeidae
Description: partial 16S ribosomal RNA
Source: RNAcentral